Molecule: ribosomal RNA, 253 nt
Filed under: uncultured bacterium
Lineage: Bacteria
Description: partial 16S ribosomal RNA
Rfam family: Bacterial small subunit ribosomal RNA
Source: RNAcentral
UACGUAGGGGGCAAGCGUUGUCCGGAUUUAUUGGGCGUAAAGAGCUCGUAGGCGGUUCCGUAAGUCAGGUGUGAAAAAUCUGGGCUCAACCCAGUGGAGCACCUGAUACUGCGGUGACUCGAGUCCGGUAGGGGAGUGUGGAAUUCCUGGUGUAGCGGUGAAAUGCGUAGAGAUCGGGAGGAACAUCUGUGGCGAAGGCGGCCAUCUGGACCAGCACUGACACUGAGGCACGAAAGCGUGGGGAGCAAACAGG